Molecule: non-coding RNA, 86 nt
Organism: Xylariales sp. AK1849
Lineage: Eukaryota; Fungi; Ascomycota; Sordariomycetes; Xylariales
Source: the annotation of a GenBank genome assembly
GGUUGGGUGGUGUAGUUGGUUAUCACGUCAGUCUCACAUUUAAAUAUGUUCACUGAAGGUCCCCGGUUCGAGCCCGGGCUUAAUCA